AAACUGAAGAGUUUGAUCCUGGCUCAGAACGAACGCUGGCGGCGUGGCUAAGACAUGCAAGUCGAACGGAUCAUACAAUUGGGUAACCGAGCGUAUGGUUAGUGGCGAAAGGGUGAGGAAUGAAUAGGUAACGUACCCUGAACUUCGGGAUAGCGUCUGAAUGCUUCGGCAUUCUUCCGAAAGGGGCAUUAAUACCGAAUGAUGUCAUUGUAUUUAAGUAUGGUGACCAAAGAUUUAUCGGUUUAGGAGCGGCCUAUUUCCUAUCAGCUUGUUGGUGAGGUAAUGGCUCACCAAGGCUCUGACGGGUAGCGGGACUGAGAGGUUGGCCCGCCACAUCGGGACUGAGACACUGCCCGGACCUCCACGGAGGGCUGCAGUAACGGAUAUUGGGCAAUGGGCGAAAGCCUGACCCAGCGACGCCGCGUGUAGGAAGAAGCCCCUCGGGGUGUAAACUACUGUCAGGGGUUAGAAAGUCCGGGUUCGCCCGGAUUGAUCAGCCCCAGAGGAAGUCACGGCUAACUUCGUGCCAGCAGCCGCGGUAAUACGAAGGUGGCAAGCGUUGUUCGGAAUCACUGGGCUUAAAGCGCACGUAGGCGGAGAUGAAAGUGUCUUGUGAAAUCCCCCGGCUUAACCGGGGAAUCGUUGGGCAAACUACAUUUCUUGAGGCAAGCAGGGGUGUGUGGAACUCUUGGUGGAGCGGUGGAAUGCGUAGAUAUCAAGAGGAACGCCGAAGGUGAAGACAGCACACUGGGCUUGACCUGACGCUGAGGUGCGAAAGCGUGGGGAGCGAACGGGAUUAGAUACCCCGGUAGUCCACGCCGUAAACGAUGCCUACUAGGUUGUGGGGAUUCUGACAUUCUCACAGUCGAAGCAAAAGUGUUAAGUAGGCCGCCUGGGGAGUACGGUCGCAAGGCUAAAACUCAAAGGAAUUGACGGGGGCUCACACAAGCGGUGGAGCAUGUGGAUUAAUUCGAAGCAACGCGCAGAACCUUACCAGGGUUUGACAUGCUUGGAUGCUUGCUGGGAAACCGGUUAAGCUGCCCUCGGGUGAAACUUGCACAGGUGCUGCAUGGCUGUCGUCAGCUCGUGUCGUGAGAUGUCGGGUUAAGUCCUUUAACGAGCGAAACCCUUACCGUUAGUUGCCAGCGGGUCAUGCCGGGGACUCUAGCGGGACUGCCGGUGUUAAACCGGAGGAAGGCGGGGACGACGUCAAGUCAUCAUGGCCUUUAUGCCCAGGGCCUCACACGUGCUACAAUGGCGAUCACAAAGCGACGCAAGACCGCGAGGUGGAGCAAAUCGCAAAAAGGUCGCCCCAGUUCGGAUUGCAGGCUGACAACUCGCCUGCAUGAAGUCGGAAUCGCUAGUAAUCGCGUAUCAGCUACGACGCGGUGAAUGUGUUCCUGAGCCUUGUACACACCGCCCGUCAAGUGAUGGGAGUUGGGAGUACCCGAAGUCGGUUUGCUAACCCGCAAGGGAAGCGGAGGCGGGGACGACGUCAAGUCAUCAUGGCCUUUAUGCCCAGGGCCUCACACGUGCUACAAUGGCGAUCACAAAGC
RNAcentral lists this ribosomal RNA (1556 nucleotides) under Phycisphaerae bacterium. Its description in RNAcentral is "bacterial SSU rRNA". It matches the Rfam family "Bacterial small subunit ribosomal RNA". Lineage: Bacteria; Pseudomonadati; Planctomycetota; Phycisphaerae. The record is from RNAcentral.